CACGUAGGGCGCAAGCGUUGUCCGGAAUUAUUGGGCGUAAAGAGCUCGUAGGCGGUCCGUCACGUCCGCUGUGAAAACCCAGGGCUCAACCCUGGGCUUGCAGUGGAUACGGGCAGACUAGAGGUAGGUAGGGGAGAAUGGAAUUCCCGGUGUAGCGGUGAAAUGCGCAGAUAUCGGGAGGAACACCGGUGGCGAAGGCGGUUCCCUGGGCCUUACCUGACGCUGAGGAGCGAAAGCGUGGGGAGCGAACAGG
This 253-nucleotide ribosomal RNA is filed under the name uncultured bacterium. Its description in RNAcentral is "partial 16S ribosomal RNA". It matches the Rfam family "Bacterial small subunit ribosomal RNA", at positions 524 to 776 of the family's 1533-position model. The record is from RNAcentral.